Molecule: long non-coding RNA, 223 nt
Filed under: Brassica napus (rape)
Lineage: Eukaryota; Viridiplantae; Streptophyta; Magnoliopsida; Brassicales; Brassicaceae
Description: long non-coding RNA (BNAP_LNC022177)
Source: RNAcentral
GACAUGUGUGGGUCGCUAUUCGCUUGUCUCCACAGCACUUGUGUUUCUUUCCUAGCCUCUUUUGAAUCCUUUCCUUUUCCUGAGCACCUUCCAAACUGAAAUCACACACAAUUCACACAAACAAACACACAAACAAGGAUAGUUCACACAAUUUAUUAAAAACAUUCACACAUAUAUACAAAGGAUACUCUUGAGAUUUCCUCCCAAGUGAGCUUGUUUUAAG